Molecule: long non-coding RNA, 1741 nt
Organism: Oreochromis aureus
Lineage: Eukaryota; Metazoa; Chordata; Actinopteri; Cichliformes; Cichlidae
Source: Ensembl
CGGUCACAGUGAAUAAAGCAAAAGGGAUCUGAAAUUGUUGAAUUUUUCUUGACUAUAUGAGUUUAGUCAUAUGAAAACUCAGAAUUUACAAAGUUCUCUCUUCUGCAUUAAAAAAAAGAAAAACACAACAAAUGAUGGAUAAAGUUUUACUGCAGUUUGUAACAAAAUAUUUACAUAAAAACACAAUACUAAAAUGCUAAGAUGAUAAAAAGAAAUCGUGUUUAGAUAUGAAAUAUUUGACUAUUUCCGCUGAUUCUGGUCAGUUCUUUAUUUGUCAGUCAUAUUGCAAAUGAUGCCACCCUGUGGUGAAUUUGCCAAACUACAAUUGUCAGUGUUGAAAAAUGUGAUAUAAUAUUAUUGUACUCCUGCGUAGACUGUCUCAACUGUGUCUGCUGACACAUGUGAACUGUUGGUAUUCUGUUUAGAGUCGUGCAUUUUAACAGUUGAAUAAAGACCACUUUCCCUCCGUAUGUAGGUGCUGUACGGCUCAAUGUCCUCUGACCCCUGCAGAAGCAAAUAUGUUUAAAACAUUAAGGUUACAUAAACAAUAUAAAUGACUAAAAAGUUACAUCUUUUGCUCAGUACCGUGUUUUGAGGUCUAGGAGAUGGUUUUCUGUAAGAGAAACACAAAAACAAACAUGAUUUUGAUCAUCAGUCGCUGCAUCAUGUAGCUCGUUUUAAUGGGGGCAACAGGAAAUGAAAGUCACUGUGUUCCUUCAAUGGCUCAUAUGAAACUUGAAGAAAAGAAAUUGUUUAUAGCAGUGGUGCACUUCCAUUAAUACGAUAAAUACAUCUGAUAAAUUAUUAGCAGGCAGCUAAUUGACUUUAAUCUACUUAAACAUGAGAACAGUAGGGCAAGGUCGUGCUGAAGAAGAUGUUAAGUCAAAAUGAACUUAAGCUAAAGUGGAUUAACCAAAAUGAAAAGAGCAAAGAGAAUCACAUGUUUUAAAGUUAUGAAGUGUGUUAAAAGGUAAAUCAUGAAACAUAUGAAACACAGCUGUGACAGUGGUUUCUCACCUCUGGUGCAGUCGUGCGUGAAUAAAUCCAAAGAUAACUAAACUCACAAUGAUGAACACGGUUACAGAAAUCAGUGUAAGAGGAACUGUUUCUGUUCCAGACCUGCUGCUUAGUUCUUUAUGAGGAGAAAAGCAGUUGUUAGAAAAAUUGACGUAGUAUUUGCAUUACUAGUGAACAAAGGCUAAGUGUGAUGUAUGACUAUUGACCUCAAAGUUAACAAAUCCUGAAGGUCACCUUGUAAAAUCAGUACAGACUUUAUAUUGCUAAAAUAUUUAUGGUUAAAGAAGAACAGAGUUGUUGUUUACCUUGUUUAUCUUCCACAGUGACAUUAAGAUGGAGAAUUUUUGUUCUUCCAGGAGUUGUACACUGACAGCUGUAGCUCCCACUGUCCUCUGAUGUUAAAUUGAUCAGGUGGAGAAACACAGUCUGAUUUUCUUUCAUCAGUGUGAACCUGGAGUCACAUUUGUUCUCAAAGCCUCGUGCAUAUUCAUACAGCAGACUACAAUUUUCUCCUCUGCUUCUCUGAGUUCUGAUCGUACAAACUAUCAGUGUGAUGAUAGUCUGUGCUCCAUUGGUGCAUAUUUGAGUGACAUCUGGUUGCUUCCCAAUUGUUUUCACAACAGCAUCUGAAAUCAGUAACAAUAAUACGCACAGUAUCAAUGAUUUAAACCAGAGGCUGGAGUAUUAUUAAAAAAUAAAUGUUACAUUAUGAAAACAGUUUUUA